RNAcentral lists this ribosomal RNA (496 nucleotides) under uncultured bacterium. Its description in RNAcentral is "partial 16S ribosomal RNA". It matches the Rfam family "Bacterial small subunit ribosomal RNA", at positions 29 to 507 of the family's 1533-position model. The record is from RNAcentral.
AUGAACGCUGGCGGCGUGCCUAAUACAUGCAAGUCGAGCGAACAGACGAGGAGCUUGCUCCUCUGACGUUAGCGGCGGACGGGUGAGUAACACGUGGAUAACCUACCUAUAAGACUGGGAUAACUUCGGGAAACCGGAGCUAAUACCGGAUAACAUGUUGAACCGCAUGGUUCAACAGUGAAAGACGGUUUUGCUGUCACUUAUAGAUGGAUCCGCGUCGCAUUAGCUAGUUGGUAAGGUAACGGCUUACCAAGGCAACGAUGCGUAGCCGACCUGAGAGGGUGAUCGGCCACACUGGAACUGAGACACGGUCCAGACUCCUACGGGAGGCAGCAGUAGGGAAUCUUCCGCAAUGGGGGAAAGCCUGACGGAGCAACGCCGCGUGAGUGAAGAAGGUCUUCGGAUCGUAAAACUCUGUUAUUAGGGAAGAACAAAUGUGUAAGUAACUAUGCACGUCUUGACGGUACCUAAUCAGAAAGCCACGGCUAACUACGUG